This 401-nucleotide ribosomal RNA is filed under the name uncultured bacterium. RNAcentral's name for it is "bacterial SSU rRNA". It matches the Rfam family "Bacterial small subunit ribosomal RNA", at positions 975 to 1375 of the family's 1533-position model. The record is from RNAcentral.
CAGGUCUUGACAUCCCACUGACCGGUUUAGAGAUAAGCCUUUCCCUUCGGGGACAGUGGUGACAGGUGGUGCAUGGUUGUCAUCAGCUCGUGUCGUGAGAUGUUGGGUUAAGUCCCGCAACGAGCGCAACCCUUGAUCUUAGUUGCCAGCAUUCAGUUGGGCACUCUAAGGUGACUGCCGGUGACAAACCGGAGGAAGGUGGGGAUGACGUCAAAUCAUCAUGCCCCUUAUGACCUGGGCUACACACGUGCUACAAUGGACGAUACAAAGGGCUGCAAACCCGCGAGGGGGAGCCAAUCCCAUAAAAUCGUUCUCAGUUCGGAUUGUAGGCUGCAACUCGCCUACAUGAAGCCGGAAUCGCUAGUAAUCGUGGAUCAGCAUGCCACGGUGAAUACGUUCCC